CAGGGAAACAAGGGAUGACAGACACAGGGAGUGGGACCUGCUCUGAGCCCUAAGAUUUCCACAGAAAAGAUCUCCUUUAGCUUACUCAGCCAAUCAUUGAUUAAUCCACGAGCUCACUCGCUGACCAGAGUGAAAUGAUUGGAUUUCCCCUCUUCCCACCUGACUCGGAGCAGGGAUUGCAGGGCUGAGUCUUGGUCUGAAGAGGAGAAGACCAGGAGGUGAAGCAGCCUGCAGGUAUUGGAGAAGG
Molecule: long non-coding RNA, 247 nt
Organism: Chiroxiphia lanceolata (lance-tailed manakin)
Lineage: Eukaryota; Metazoa; Chordata; Aves; Passeriformes; Pipridae
Exons: 3
Source: RefSeq, a predicted model, not a curated record